CCUGACGGUAGUCGUAUGCUCGUCUCCGAGACUAAGCCAUGCAAGUCCAAGUACACGUCCUUGAACGACGGAAACUGCGAACGGGCUCAUUAAAUCAGUUGCGAUCUACUCGGCGUUCCGCGCCGCCGGAUAACCGUAGUAAUUCUAGGGCUAAUACGUGCGAAGCGCCCGAAGCCGCGAGGUGACGGGCGUUCUCGCCGGAUGUAGGAACCGACCCGGGGACCGCCGGGGCAACCCCGGCGCCCCCGAGACGGGGCGAACCACGGUGAAAUGACGGAUCGUCGGCCCCGCGCCGGCGACUCGCCGAAUGAGUUUCUGACCUAUCAACUCGAGACGGCGGGGUAGAGGCCCGCCGCGGUAACGACGGGUAACGGGGAAUCAGGGUUCGAUUCCGGAGAGGGAGCCCGAGAAAACGGCUACCACUUCCAAGGAAGGCAGCAGGCGCGCAACUUACCCUAAUCUCGAUUCGAGGAGGUA
Molecule: ribosomal RNA, 477 nt
Filed under: uncultured eukaryote
Lineage: Eukaryota
Description: bacterial SSU rRNA
Rfam family: Eukaryotic small subunit ribosomal RNA
Source: RNAcentral